This is a long non-coding RNA of Panicum virgatum (switchgrass), 1896 nucleotides long. RefSeq lists it as uncharacterized. NCBI's taxonomy places the organism in Eukaryota, Viridiplantae, Streptophyta, Magnoliopsida, Poales, Poaceae. The record is from RefSeq and is a predicted model, not a curated record. The transcript has 2 exons.
AAUCAAAGGAAGGUUCUUGCAGCUGCUAAGCUGAUCUGACACAUCAGUAGUUAUUGUCCCAUAGUAUCGCAAGUUCUCAUUCUUUUUUAACAUCCCAAAUAGUACCACUCUGUCCAUAAUUUUCACCCAAUUCAUUCGAAGGUAAGGGAUGCUACAGAUGCUUCAAUUCUAAUGGCGGAAUCGGUCGGCGCUGUGAUUGUCCAGGAGACAGUUAGCCAAAUCCUAUCUGGUAUUGUUCAAAAAUAUGAGGAGAAAGAGGAAUCAAAUGCGAACAGAAACUUGGAGAGGCUAGAGAUGGCUCACAUCAGGCUGGAGGCUGCUCUUGAGACAUCUGAUAAGUGGCAGAUCACUGAUGCAUCCUUAUUGCGCUGGCGUAGGAAAUUGAAGCGUGCUGCUCAAGAGUGUGGUGACACACUGCACAAAAGCAAGCAGCGAAUCCUAGAAAGCGAACAAAUGAAACGGGAGGUAAAGAAUUCCUCCCUUCCUAACCGUAUUGUGCAUGCUACAAAGUCAUUUGUUUUCUCUGUCCUUGACCGCAGCAACAAUGAGUUGAGCAUAUCCAUUGCUCAAAGAUUUGAGUGGUAUGCAGCUGGUGCUAGUGAGUUUUUGAGAUUCGUAGAGCUUGGGUGCACACCACGCUGUCACAUGCCCUUUGACUCCCUUGUCAAGAACCUUUUUGCAGGCAAGGAACUACAUCAUAAAAUCGUUCGGGGGAAACAAGUAUCCGUCCUUUCAGUUCAGGUUGGUGCCGGUCCAUACUUUAGAGCAUGGAACCAACGUUGGUUUGACAUUUGUCCAGUGUGAUGGUACACCAGAGGGUUAUAUAUUCUUUAGUUUGAUCAUACAGCUCUCGGAGAGUAUAGAUAUAGUUGGUAUCGCACUUAGGUGCUUGCAGUAUUUUGCCCCUCAUUUCAAGUGUAAUUUUGAAAAUAUAAGGAAUGAACUUACUCAACUACCCACUCAAGACUUCUCAUGGGGGCCAUCUAUUUACGACCGUAAGGAGCAAUGGGACAAAUUCAGAAGCUUCUUGUUGCAGUGGGGUCAGCAUGAUGUUCAACGCUUUAGCAACCUAGACAUGGCAGGAUUUUCAGAACUUUUGCUAGAACCAGUAAUUCAUUUGUAUUUGCAGUGUCAAGUCUCAAUGUCUGUUGACAGCAAACAAAAGACAUCACGGUCUGAAGACUUAAUUUCUCUACAAGAUUAUCCAUAUCUGAAAACCGGUAUUUCCUUUUGCCCCCAUGGCUAUUUACAAGACAUGUUGCCAGAGAAUAGGAGUUCUGAAAUAGCUGCCAUAGUCCGCAAGGAGCAACAUUUCUUGCAUUCAGACAUUACCCUGGAACAGCUGGAAGAGAUUAUGCUGCCAAAGGCAAUAGAUUACUUCCACCAGAAUGUUGAAGCGAUGGUUUACCAAAUGAUUUGGAAGUCUAAAUAUGGGUUUGCAUAUAUUCAGGUUGAGAAGCCAUGCAUGAGCACACAGAGAUCAAGCAUGAGAACACGGAGAACUUUUGGGGUAGCUAGUAAGAGAAAGCAAUUGCAAGGGCAUGACGAGGAACUUAUUAGGAAUCGGAUAGCAUGUCACUGGCUCGACUUAUGGGUUACACAUGUGCCUGUACGACUGCAAAGAUCGAUCAAGAACUGGGUGCGGAAAGAAAAGGAAUUUCUAUCAGCAGCACCGCAACUAAUACACCUGAAAUCCUAAAUAUUGUAACUUGGAUGCACACACGAAACAAGACAAUAAAGGACUCGAAAUAGAAUGCUAUAGGGAAGGUAUAAAAAAAGUAGCAUGCCACUUGUUCUUAUUUUCAAUUUGUGUGUCUUGCAUGUAUGGUGUUGUUUGGUUCUCACCAGUUGAUGAGUAUACGCUGAAGUUACUCAAUUACACAGGAAGUUGCUUAC